Molecule: ribosomal RNA, 351 nt
Filed under: uncultured bacterium
Lineage: Bacteria
Description: bacterial SSU rRNA
Rfam family: Bacterial small subunit ribosomal RNA
Source: RNAcentral
AGAGUUUGAUCAUGGCUCAGGAUGAACGCUAGCUACAGGCUUAACACAUGCAAGUCGAGGGGCAGCAUGGUCUUAGCUUGCUAAGGCCGAUGGCGACCGGCGCACGGGUGAGUAACACGUAUCCAACCUGCCGUCUACUCUUGGACAGCCUUCUGAAAGGAAGAUUAAUACAAGAUGGCAUCAUGAGUUCACAUGUUCACAUGAUUAAAGGUAUUCCGGUAGACGAUGGGGAUGCGUUCAUUAGAUAGUAGGCGGGGUAACGGCCCACCUAGUCUUCGAUGGAUAGGGGUUCUGAGAGGAAGGUCCCCCACAUUGGAACUGGAGACACGGUCCAAACUCCUACGGGAGGCA